RNAcentral lists this small RNA (706 nucleotides) under uncultured Botryococcus. RNAcentral describes it as "eukaryotic LSU rRNA". The stretch from base 289 to 442 matches the Rfam family "5.8S ribosomal RNA". Lineage: Eukaryota; Viridiplantae; Chlorophyta; Trebouxiophyceae. The record is from RNAcentral.
AAGGAUCAUUGAACAUGUCUGUCCAAACCGGUCACCAAUCGUACCCCGGGCUAGCCGUGAGUACGCUCGCGGUGUGCAAGGAGCGGGCGGCCAGGGCUCUUGCCCCUUGACUCAUGUUGGGGGGACAGGCUUGCACCUGGCGUGAGACCGAGACAGCCUUGCAGGCCGGGCCUGCCCUGAGGGCGCAGACCCCGGUCGGCUCUUGACUGACUCCCAAUCCAGGAGCUGAAGCUAUCAAGUCCGUCUGCAACUCCGCGGAGCUGGUGGACCGGACGCAUAACCAGAGACAACCCUCAACAACGGAUAUCUUGGCUCCCGCACCGAUGAAGAACGCAGCGAAAUGCGAUACCUAGUGUGAAUUGCAGAAUCAUGUGAAUCAUCGAGUCUUUGAACGCAAAUUGCGCCCAAGGUUUAGGCCAAGGGCAUGGCUGGCUCAGCGUCGAUGCACUCCCUCGCUCUCGCGUAUGCGACAGCGGAUCAUGGUUCCCCCGGCCUUUGGAUCGGGCGAACUGAAGCGCAAGCGGCUCCUGAGGCGUCCAUGGCGGCAAGCUCUGGCAGCGCGGUAAGCGGCCCUCAUCGGUUGUUAUGCCUGUCUGCCCAUUGAUUGUAGUCUAUGUCUGUAGAAGUCUUGUAUGCAGGAACAGAACAUGUAUUGUUAUGUCAAACUUUCGACCUGAGCUCAGGCAAGAGCACCCGCUGAACUUAA